UACGGGGGGGGCAAGCGUUGUUCGGAAUUACUGGGCGUAAAGGGCGUGUAGGCGGCCAACUAAGUCCGACGUGAAAUCCCCAGGCUUAACCUGGGGACUGCGUCGGAUACUGGAUGGCUUGAAUCCGGGAGAGGGAUGCAGAAUUCCAGGUGUAGCGGUGAAAUGCGUAGAUAUCUGGAGGAAUACCUGUGGCGAAGGCGGCAUCCUGGACCGGCAUUGACGCUGAAGCGCGAAAGCGUGGGGAGCAAACAGG
Molecule: ribosomal RNA, 253 nt
Filed under: uncultured bacterium
Lineage: Bacteria
Description: partial 16S ribosomal RNA
Rfam family: Bacterial small subunit ribosomal RNA
Source: RNAcentral